CAAAAUGUAGCUUAACCAAAGCAUUUGGCUUACACCCAAAAGACUCUAUAAACAUUAGACAUUUUGA
Molecule: transfer RNA, 67 nt
Filed under: Graphiurus kelleni (savanna dormouse)
Lineage: Eukaryota; Metazoa; Chordata; Mammalia; Rodentia; Gliridae
Description: tRNA-Val
Rfam family: tRNA
About the family: Transfer RNA (tRNA) molecules are approximately 80 nucleotides in length.
Source: RNAcentral